RNAcentral lists this unclassified non-coding RNA (565 nucleotides) under Hevea brasiliensis (rubber tree). Lineage: Eukaryota; Viridiplantae; Streptophyta; Magnoliopsida; Malpighiales; Euphorbiaceae. The record is from RNAcentral.
UUUUGAAGACUGUGGUUAGCUACAACAGACCAACGAAUUAAGAAAAAUGAUAAACUUAUUGAUCAGGUUCAUCAUCCAGGCACAUAACUUGAAACUCAAUUGGGUAUCCAAAACAGAAUAUGUUGUGAAGAUUAUCAUUUCUUAUUCUUUUAUGAUAUGAAAUUCACAUUUCAGUCAGCAAUGACAACAAAAAUAUACUAAAACGACUUGAUGUUAGCCCCUCACUAAUUGGAUUGGUUAUAUAAAUAAUAAUAAUAACAACAAAGGGAAAAACAUAAAAGAAAAAUGAACUGAAAUUUUGGAAUAUGCAUUAAAACUAAUUAAUUUUAAAACGACCACAAACAGUACAUAAAUUGUAAACAGAUAAAAAAUAAAAUAAAAUAAUUCUUGAUAUUCUUUAUCACCAAACAAACUAAUAAACGAGCUUGGUGUUCCAAGAUUAGCCCGAUAUAGCAGAGUUCAGAUCAAAGAAACAACAAACCUAGCAUUAACUCAGAAUCAUUUUAAAUGCAAGAAAUUAAAAGGGAAUAUUUAUGAUAAGUUACUGAGAGAGUUACCUUUAGGG